Molecule: small nucleolar RNA, 79 nt
Filed under: Zootermopsis nevadensis
Lineage: Eukaryota; Metazoa; Arthropoda; Insecta; Blattodea; Termopsidae
Source: RNAcentral
AUUGCCAGUGAUGACAGCUUACAUUACUUUGUAUGAGAAAUAUGAUUAUUUGUUAACAUGCACUACCAGCUGAGGCAUU